RNAcentral lists this ribosomal RNA (466 nucleotides) under uncultured bacterium. RNAcentral describes it as "partial 16S ribosomal RNA". It matches the Rfam family "Bacterial small subunit ribosomal RNA", at positions 339 to 795 of the family's 1533-position model. The record is from RNAcentral.
CUACGGGAGGCUGCAGUGGGGAAUAUUGGACAAUGGGGGAAACCCUGAUCCAGCAAUGCCGCGUGUGUGAAGAAGGCCUGCGGGUUGUAAAGCACUUUCGGUUGGGAGGACUGCUUCUAGCACUAAUAUUGUUGGAAGUUGACGUUACCUUCAGAAGAAGCACCGGCUAACUCCGUGCCAGCAGCCGCGGGUAAUACGGAGGGUGCAAGCGUUAAUCGGAAUUACUGGGCGUAAAGCGCGCGUAGGCGGCUAGAUCAGUCGGGUGUGAAAGCCCCGGGCUUAACCUGGGAACUGCAUCCGAUACUGUCUAGCUUGAGUACAGGAGAGGAGAGUGGAAUUCCACAUGUAGCGGUGAAAUGCGUAGAUAUGUGGAGGAACACCAAUAGCGAAGGCAGCUCUCUGGCCUGAUACUGACGCUGAGGUGCGAAAGCGCGGGGAGCAAACAGGAUUAGAUACCCUCGUAGUC